AAGUCGUAACAAGGUAACCGUAGGUGAACCUGCGGUUGGAUCAUUAAAAAAUGUUUGGUCUCGUACCAAAUGAACACUUGUGUGCACCAAAUGUCUGUCCUUGGUAGUUCGAGUUGCAUUUUGGGAACUCAACCCUCCCGAAGUGCCUACCGUUUCUCAGAUGGCCGUGUCAGACUUGUGAAAAGUUUGUUGGUGAUGAGGAUUUGCGGAUGGGACCCAUGUUUACGCGUGGGAUGCUUCCGCAAAUGCACUUUGCCAAUGGACCUCCACACGUUCGGCAGGACCAGAGUUGCGGUUGGGCUACCGACCAUGUCAAACAACUUUGUUAAUUUUUAGUCUGAACUUUUUAAGACUUGAUCUUAAAACUUUAAUGUAUUAUAUACAACUUUUGACAACGGAUCUCUUGGCUCUC
This 412-nucleotide unclassified non-coding RNA is filed under the name fungal sp. Its description in RNAcentral is "partial internal transcribed spacer region". The stretch from base 1 to 46 matches the Rfam family "Eukaryotic small subunit ribosomal RNA", at positions 1786 to 1831 of the family's 1831-position model. Lineage: Eukaryota; Fungi. The record is from RNAcentral.